UCCGGUGUGGUUUAGUUGGCUAUAAUUGUUACACACAUGCUGGUGACAGAGACAAGUUCGAUCCUUGGCGCCGGAC
Mytilinidion resinicola is the source of this 76-nucleotide non-coding RNA. The record is from the annotation of a RefSeq genome assembly. Lineage: Eukaryota; Fungi; Ascomycota; Dothideomycetes; Mytilinidiales; Mytilinidiaceae.